This is a long non-coding RNA of Gadus macrocephalus (Pacific cod), 1399 nucleotides long. RefSeq lists it as uncharacterized. The transcript is spliced from 5 exons. NCBI's taxonomy places the organism in Eukaryota, Metazoa, Chordata, Actinopteri, Gadiformes, Gadidae. The record is from RefSeq and is a predicted model, not a curated record.
CGGUGUCCUGCAUUACUGUCAUGUCAGGUAAACCUUGAGUCUCUGGAAAUGAUGUUUCAUUGAUUUUUCAAUAUAUUUUAGUCAUUGUGAUUAUCAUCCGCCUGCCCUCAUUGUAUUGUCCUAGGGCAAAGUCCUAUAUCCUUACAUCCACAUCCACAGUUUCACCGCCACUGCUCCUACAAGCAACAGCAUGAGAGUGCAAUGUCCCGGCAGGAAACCACAACAUGGUUUCCCAAUUAUAGUUCUGUGUGUAUAAAGCAGAUGCGACAUGUAGAUAGUUGUCUAUUAGGUAAAGGCAUGAGAAUCUCCAGACACCUAAUUAUUUGUGAUGGCCUUUGGAUAAUUUUUUCCAGGCAUUAUAUCCAAGGUGCUUUCAUAUUAGGCCUAAGCAAAGUACCAUGAACACUGAUACAUGUCAUAAAGGCUCGAACCCAGAACAUUUACACUGUGAUUUGUAUAUCUUAACACCACCCCUAUUUAUCUACAUACCAUCUUUGAAAAAAGUUGUAGAGAGAAGAUGAUCAUAUGUGUAUCAUAUAUUUAGGUGCAUGUAAUGUCAAAUAUAGAUUGCCCCGCAUCCCAAUUUCUAUGUCUCCUGGGUGGUAUUUCUGCUAAAACGGGUGUUCAUGUACCGUUAAUCUUGGGUCAAACGAUCCUAAUAGCAGAGCUUGUGGGGGGAGAUGGCACAGAGGCCAGAAGAUAUCAUACCGAACUGACUCAUGAAAAUGAAGGGGACUUCAAUAAGAGAAUUCCUAAAGUCUAGUCUACACGUUGUCAAUCUGAAAACUUUCCAUACACUUUUCCUGGGAGCGUCGGUGUCCGGACAGGAUGCGGUGAGUUUGCGCUCGCUGUUAGCCAUGAAGCGGAGACUCCCAGACCCCCUUGUCUCCGACAUGAUCGCCCCAGACUGGAACUCUUCGGCUCGAAUCUCCACUCUCAGAGAAUCCAUCAGGAUUGUUUAUGAGAUCUCCGAAAGGCGUAACAGUGAUGACCUCACUCUGCCUCAGCCCCAGUGAAUCAUGGGAUACAGGAAGCAAGGUCUCUUAACGCCAGACACCCAGGGUCGGACCAGACGAUCAACGCCUCAAACGCUGGCCUAAGACAAACCCUGCCCAACGGCCAGACUCAUUCAAUCUAUAAUGCAUGUCUGAUACAUAAAGGUCCCUGCAGGCCAAGAACAGAGAUUCCUGCUCCAGGCUCCACAUUAAAGACACAUGACGGUGCAUCUCAGCCUUGGCGUGGGCCUUGGGUUCCCCGCCCCAGGCGACCGGCGCCCCCACCACCCCGUGGAAGCUGGACGGGCAGUAUGGCCCGAACGGCGGCUCCAGAUAGUGCCCUGCUCCCGGGUACACCACCUUCUCAAAGUUGUCCUUCCCCUGACGUCUCAGCCUCUCCGUCA